This 254-nucleotide ribosomal RNA is filed under the name uncultured bacterium. Its description in RNAcentral is "partial 16S ribosomal RNA". It matches the Rfam family "Bacterial small subunit ribosomal RNA", at positions 524 to 776 of the family's 1533-position model. The record is from RNAcentral.
UACGUAGGGUGCUAGCGUUGUCCGGAUUUAUUGGGCGUAAAGAGCUCGUAGGCGGCUUGGCAAGUCGGGUGUGAAACCUCCAGGCUCAACCUGGAGACGCCACUCGAUACUGCCAUGGCUAGAGUCCGGUAGGGGACCACGGAAUUCCUGGUGUAGCGGUGAAAUGCGCAGAUAUCAGGAGGAACACCGGUGGCGAAGGCGGUGGUCUGGGCCGGCACUGACGCUGAGGAGCGAAAGCGUGGGUAGCAAACAGG